RNAcentral lists this ribosomal RNA (468 nucleotides) under uncultured bacterium. Its description in RNAcentral is "partial 16S ribosomal RNA". It matches the Rfam family "Bacterial small subunit ribosomal RNA", at positions 28 to 507 of the family's 1533-position model. The record is from RNAcentral.
GACGAACGCUGGCGGCGUGCUUAACACAUGCAAGUCGAACGGAAAGGCCCUGCUUUUGUGGGGUGCUCGAGUGGCGAACGGGUGAGUAACACGUGAGUAACCUGCCCUUGACUUUGGGAUAACUUCAGGAAACUGGGGCUAAUACCGGAUAGGAGCUCCUGCUGCAUGGUGGGGGUUGGAAAGUUUCGGCGGUAGGGGAUGGACUCGCGGCUUAUCAGCUUGUUGGUGGGGUAGUGGCUUACCAAGGCUUUGACGGGUAGCCGGCCUGAGAGGGUGACCGGCAACAUUGGGCCUGAGAUACGGCCCAGACUCCUACGGGAGGCAGCAGUGGGGAAUAUUGCACAAUGGGCGGAAGCAUGAUGCAGCAACGCCGCGUGCGGGAUGACGGCCUUCGGGUUGUAAACCGCUUUCGCCUGUGACGAAGCGUGAGUGACGGUAAUGGGUAAAGAAGCACCGGCUAACUACGUG